Molecule: transfer RNA, 4863 nt
Filed under: Sus scrofa (pig)
Lineage: Eukaryota; Metazoa; Chordata; Mammalia; Artiodactyla; Suidae
Description: lncRNA (ENSSSCG00000052580.1)
Source: RNAcentral
CCCUGGAACCUUUGCUCCCUUCGGCUUAUGGGGAAUGAAACAAGUUUCCUAAAACGGACCCAAGGGCCUCCCAUCGCCGUCCCUUCCCUGCCUCCAAGGCCUUGUCCCCGCCACCUCCUUCGAGGCCCCGGCUUCUUUCCUCGCUUCUGUCUGGCCCGGCUCGCGCUUCCAGCACUCAUUCGAUUUUUCUCGUUCUGCUUAGACUAGGGGUACUUAAGCUGCGGCCCUUGACUGGAAUUCUGGGGGCUGAGACCCCUUUCGAAUUAUAUGCAGAAUGAACGGUAGGAGCGGCUGUGGAUUGCUGCUCUGCUGCUGCUGCUGGUGGGUUUUUAUCAAACUCAAAUGCUGAAGACCCUCGUAGGACUGGCUCUUCACAGAACUAAUAGGGGACCCACUUUGUGUGUCUGUGGGCUCUUUGUCAGCACAGGGCCUGGCACAGGUGUCCCCUGGUGCUUAUGAGAGGGAAGAGAGUAUAUCCUGUUUCUCCCGGCCACUGGCUGCACACACCUCAACCUGCUCCCCGGCACACUUGGUGUUCCCUGCACACAACUCUUGAUUGCUGCUGGAAUCAUUCGUUCAUUCGUCCUUCUGUCAAACCUUAAUUGAGCCUGCGAUCUGACCCUGGAUUUUCUUUCUUCAUCCAUAAAUUUGGGGACGAGUGAGGGCUUUACAGGGGUAAAGCAAAACUUUAGGAUCCCUUGCUGGCCUGCAUCUGGAUUCUGAUUCUGCCGGUGACUAGCUGGUGAGCUUGGGUAAAUCAAUCUCUCAGAAUCUCAGUGUUCUCAUCUGAAAAAAUCUGGGGAUUAUCAUCAGUCUAGUUGUGAGCAUUUGAUAAGAUGCUAUGUGCAGAGGGACAGUCCUGCACAUUGUAGGUGCUCGGGAAGUAUCACCUCCAUUCUUUCUCCUCUUCCAGCUUUGAAGAGCCUGCGACAGUUUGAGGUAGAAUCUAGAUGGGCCCCAGGGCUGAGAACAGCUGAAACUUGUUGGGCUGAGUAAAUUGGGCCUUGCUUCUCUUUGACACCUCAAGGAGAAAGUUAAUGGCAGGAGCUGAGCUCUGCUGGAACUAAAAAGAUUAGAUGAACACAUCAGGAGUUCUCUUGUGGCUCAGUAGGUUAAGCAUCCAGCAUUGUCCCUGCAGAGGCUUGGGCUGCUGCUGUGGUGCAGAGUUGAUCCCUGGCCCAGGAACUUCCACAGGUCUGGGGUGUGGCCCCCCAGAAAGAGAUGAGCAGGUCAGUCACUCCUGAGGUCAAGGAGACCUCCCUGACUACACAUGCUCAGAAAGACUCCUUGGGGGUCAAAAGGGGGGGGCUGACAUCCCAUAAUAGGUAUUGCCAACCUCUCAUAAACCCUGCACUGGAAUCCAUCUUGGCUGAAAGUUGUGUAUGCGUAUCAGGGAGUGCCGGGGUCUGAACAGGUGUGAGAAAUAAAACAAGUUCAAAAAGAUCAAAGGAAAACAAAGACCUGGAAGAAUGCCCUACAUAAGUGAUUUUUUUGGAGGGAGGGCCAUGUCUCUGGCAUUCAGAAGUUCCCAGGCCAGGGACUGAACCUGUGCCACAGCUGCAACUGGAGGCACAGCAGUGACAAGGCCAGAUCCUUAACCUGCCUACCCACCAGGGAACUCCCCUUACGUAAGUGAUUUAAAUCACCCCUUGGGCAGGGACAUCCGCACUCCUCUCUGAGUGUGCUGUUUUGCUUCUCAGCUGCCUGUGUGCUCUUCCACAUGUGCUGUGCUUAUAGUAAUAAACUCCACGUCUGUUUCAUAGCUUCCAUCACUUUGUAAAAUUUUGUUUACAAGGCAGACAAGAUCCAGCGGCUCUGCUUCCAGCCACUAGCCUCCCAUGGUGUAGUGGUUAGGAUUCCCGGUUCUCACGCUGGCUGUCCAGGUUCAGUUCCUGAGCAGGGAAGUAAGCUCUCACCUCAAGCCAUCACUCACUGCUCACUGCUGUCUCCCCGAGCUCAGUGAAGCUGGAGAAAUGUAACCGAGCUGAUGUUGCUCCGGGCGCCCUCUGGUGGUGAGGAGGCUGCGGGGCAGCACAGAGGCCUCAGAGGCCAACGGACCUGGCUGGUGCCAAAUGUCGCACUGAGAAGUGACACAAGUUAAAAACACCCAACCAACAAACAAAAUGAAUGAACACUUGUAAAACCAGUGCACAGUCCAGAAAUAUAUACACCUUUGGAACACUCACCUGGUUUUGCACAUAGAGUAUAUGAUAGAAUGUAUCAUAUACUGUUUUGGAAUGUGCUUGUUUCAUCUAAACAUAUAUUUAGUGUAAACUUCCCACGUGAGAACAUAUAGUUUUAACACAUUCUCCUUUAAAAAAAAACUUUUAUGGAGCAGGUGAGGGCAUAAAAUACACUUUUUUUUUUUUUUUUGUCUGUUUAGGGCCACACCUGCUGCAUACAAGUUCCCAGGCUAGGGGUCCAAUCAGAGCUGCGGCUGAUGGCCUACACCACAGCCACAGCCACAGCCACUUGGGAUCCAAGCUGCCGUCUGUGACCUACACCACAGCUCCCAGCAAGGCCUGAUCCUUAACCCACUGAUCCAGGCCAGGGAUGCAACCUGCAUCCUCAUGGAUACUAGUUGGGUUCAUUACUGCUGAGCUACAGUGGGAGCUCCCCUAGAGAUAUUUUAAAAAUUCACAACCUAGAAAGAGCGCCAGUGGCAGGCAGCACAGAGAAUGAUCCCCAAACACACAGCUCCGACAUCCCGCCAAAUAUGCAGACGAGGCGGGGGCCAGCACCCACCAGUUCAGGGCUUUCCUUUCUCUGGGUCUACUUCAUUUUCUGUCAAACAAGGGUUUGGAGGGGUUCCCUGAUGGUCUCGUGGUUAGGAUGCAGUGCUCUCACUGCUGCGGCCUGGGUUGAACCCCGGUCUGGGAACUGAGAUCCCCACAUCAGGUGCCACAGCCACAAAACCCCACGAGGGUUUUGGACUAGACCAGGGUUCCUGGAAUUCAGAUUCCACAAGUCAGGAGGCAGAUCUGCAUUACUGCCCUAUUAUUAAUUUUCCAGGGCACGGGGGAUGGCACAUAGUACUGCCAACUGUUUUCAGGUAGGGAAUUAUAAACCCCCUACUGUUUACGGUUGCCAUUUCAUGAAGCUUUAUUGCCAGGAUUGGAGGAAAAGCUUGCCGGGUGAAGGAUGGGGCCAAAGGAAGGGACUGGCUCUGCUGCCUUUCCUUGUAUCUCCAUGACAGGAGAGCACGCUGUCCUGGGCAGACUGGUGGUGGGGACCCGUGCGUGGCCAUCAGAGUUACGACAUGGUCCCACCUUAGGCUGUCACCUUCGGUGGAGCAGAUCGGGGUCUCGGCAACACGCCAACACAAGCGAGGGGCCAGGACUUGGGAGAGGUGGCUCCUGUCCUGGCACUGCUGCUCCGCCGGGCUGCCAGGGGCCCCAGUCUCCUCACUCUGGGAGGUGACGGUGGAGCAAAAAGCUCGCCAGGGAUGAGAGGCUGGUUGCCAUUACUUGACUGCUUCUUGGUUUGGGCAGAGCGGGACCCUGGUGUCCACGCAGUUCUGAACGAGUGGGUGACACCAGGACGCCUCCUUUGCUGGCGAUCCGCACCCCCCCCCCCGGGGACCUCGCCUGGGCCGACGCGCUAGCCUGACGGCCAGGACAGCUGGUGACCCUGACACCUCCUCCUACUGCCCUUUCCCAGUGCACCCUUGGCCAAGCAGCCCAUGCCCGAUGCUCGGGGAGCAGUGGACACGCACCCCACACUCCUGAGUUGAAGGGGAGAAACCAAAGCAAGGUCCGCUUCCAUCGUGAUCUGAUGUUGAGGUCAGCUCCUCUUAGCUCUUCCCAGGCCUGGACCUCCGUCCUCCUGGGGUGACGGGGUGGCCUGUAUCCUUUAGGUUCUGUCCUUGUGCCCAGCAGCCCGCCGGUGUCCCCGAGGAAGCCUCUACCUGCUCAAGCAGGUCAACUGCAAAGCAGGUCUCACAACUCAGCAGGAAGCCCUGGGCUCACACAAGCGCUUUGUCAGAGGCCCCGCCCGCACCACCUGCCGGGCUCCGGCUCUGGCCCCUGCUUGCUGGCUUCCUCUUCCGCGAGGCAGCCCUGAAGACUCCCUUUGCCCAAACAGCUCUGUCCCCCUCUACAGGCAGGUCCCUUCUAGGCCCUGGGAAUGUCCUGCCUGCUAAGGGCAUCCGUAUUGCUGGACAGUCUGUGCUGACAGUGGACUCUGGGGUGGGGGGUGUCUUGGGCCACCCAGAAUCAGCCUCACCUUUGGGGGGGGCUAGUCAGCCAUGUAACUGGGACUGGCCCAUGAUUAAACUGGCCGGGAGGUGCAGGCCUGUCCGAGCCGCUCCCCGGGAGGGGCGGGGGCUCUGAGCCUGGGUCCGGGGGCGACCUGCUCUCUCUCUUGUGCUGAUUCCUUUCGCUGCCAUAACCCAUCCCCGUGGGGACCACAGCUGUCCCUCCUGCGAAUCCUUCCAGGGGAUCGCUGAAUCCAAGGUGCUCUCGGGGUCGGUGAACUUGGCACUGGCCCUGCCUGACUGUCUCUGGAGCCUCGGCUGAGAGUGGGAUCUGGAACCAGCUCGCUUCCCAUCACGCUAGUUACCCCGACCUGCCCGGUGCUGGGUUUUACUCCAUUUCACUCUUUGCAGCAGACUUUUUGUUUCAGUCUUUUUGAAACUCACCAAAUAAUGCUGGGGAGUUCCCGUCAUGAUGCAGUGGAAACAAAUGUGGCUAGGAUCCCUGAGGACACAGGUUCGAUCCCUGGCCUUGCUUAGUGGGUUAAGGAGCUGGCACUGCAGUGAGCUGUGGUGUAGGUCGCAGAUGGGGCUUGGAUCCCGCGUUUCUGUGACUGUGGUGUAGUUUGGUGGCUGUAGCUCCGAUUUGACCCCUAGCCUGGAACCUCCUG